This is a long non-coding RNA of Oreochromis niloticus (Nile tilapia), 1674 nucleotides long. Lineage: Eukaryota; Metazoa; Chordata; Actinopteri; Cichliformes; Cichlidae. The record is from Ensembl.
GAAGCUACGGCGGUGCGAACUGGCGAGUCCUGAACCCCCGCUUUUCCGAGCGGAGACAACUUUCACUCCGACUGUGGGGACCGACACCGGCGCUGUGACGCUCCUCGGCUGGGAAAUCCGCCGCUAGGGGGAGUGAGGAGUUAAACCAGAGCGGGGGGAGGAGGGAGGCUAGAGGUUCAACCUCAACAGAUGACUGUUUUUUUUUUUAGAAGAGAAGACUACUCUUCAUACUACAAGUCUUUGUUAUGUACUUCUAGCCAACAGAGUGAAGCUACAGCAUCAUCAUUCCGUCUAUGAGCCCGGAAAGUUCUCUAAACAUCCGACGGCGUGUGCUGCCUUUAAAUACGCCUCUGGUGUGUAACCUGGCUGGGUUCUGUGCUGUGAUAAAGGGCGAGCUGCCACCAUUUGGAGCCAGACCAGGGCUGCUCCUGGACGCAGCGAUUAGAACACAAAUGACUGAUAACUCGGGGGCAGAGGGGCGCAGGAGCCGAGAUCUGCAUCACAAACCUCCAAAACUGCAGAGACACACGGAGAGAAAGGAUGAAAAGUCGGGAAGGGGAUGUGAAGAGUACAUUUAGAAGUCAGACUCAACACAGAUCUCCAGGGAUUCGUAGAGUAGGAUUUGUUUUUGUUGCUUUUGGUCCGUAGUGAAAACGCACUCCAUUACUGAACUAAUCAUAAACCUUGUAAAAUCAACUCUUUGGAAAUAUGGGCUUCAUCGAACGGCUCUCUUUCCCCUGUAAGUUAAUUAUGUUGUUGUGCAGGUGAUUGUACUGCUGUGCCUAAUUUCUUAUAGAAACCCAGAGGGGGGGAAAAAAGAGAAACAGGAACUUUCUUUCAAAAAUCAAUAGCAAGACAAUUUAAGAGAAAUAAACUCUACUCCCUCUCGUUUAAUCUCAUACUUUCUGAGACUUAAUAAAAACAAAAGCUUUACAGUGAUGAAGCACACUGGCCACAGCCAUAUGAUCUAUCUAGAUUUUUUUUUCAGGCAACUUCUUGACCUCUUUCUUGUAAUGUUCAAGAUACUGGAUGGAUCAGGAAUUUCAGAUUCCAACAAGGCGACAGAAGAAGUCAUGUUAUGAAACAUGUAUUUCACGCUCUCCUCAUUGCAAUAAAUGACUGCAUGAGAGAAGCAAGUCAAAAUCACUCUCGUGAUUCUUUUCCCCCUGUUUUCAGGUAAAAGUGUUUAAAAGUUGAUAUAUUUGCAAUCUGUUCAUUGCUAAGAUAUUUAAUAGGUAACCCUUAUUGUUUUGUAAGCUUUAGAAACAUUAUAUUACAGUUGUUUUGUGCAUAUAGACACGGCGGUUUUGAGCCUCAGUUUUAUACUGUAUAAUGUCCAUUAAGCUAACGGCAGGAGCUAGAAAUGGUGCUAUUGUCAACCAUUUUGUCAGGAAACCUGUUCAGGAAUAUGUAUAGUAAACACUUUAGUAUUUUGGUUUAUUAUUUAGCUUUUCCUUCCACCAUGUGACAUUAAGCAGUACAGAAUGUGAAACAUUUAUGUUCAUUUUGAUGGCAAUAAACGCCUGCAUGAGAGAAGUCAAAAUCACUCUUGUGAUUCUUUUCCCCGUUUUCAGGGGUGUAACAAUAGCAUGUCUCAGUUUUAUUUUUAUCUGAACAAAGAUGCAUAAAAAGUUUCUCUUAGCUGAUCAAGUCUGUAAAAACUGUUUACAGCAC